Molecule: unclassified non-coding RNA, 374 nt
Filed under: uncultured bacterium
Lineage: Bacteria
Description: contains 16S-23S intergenic spacer region
Source: RNAcentral
UCCCCGUUCUCCUGGGCAGUCUCUCUAGAGUGCUCGGCCUGACCCGGGGGCAACUAAGGACAGGGGUUGCGCUCGUUGCGGCACUUAAGCCAACACCUCACGGCACGAGCUGACGACAGCCAUGCAGCACCUGUGCUAGCCCCUUACGGACACGCGCUUUCACGCGCUUUAACUAGCAUGUCAAGCCUAGGUAAGGUUCUUCGCGUUGCAUCGAAUUAAGCCACAUGCUCCGCCGCUUGUGCGGGUCCCCGUCAAUUCCUUUGAGUUUUAAUCUUGCGACCGUACUCCCCAGGCGGGGUGCUUAAAGCGUUAGCUGCGCCACCGACGAGCAAGCUCGCCGACGGCUAGCACCCAUAGUUUACGGCGUGGACUAC